AAUACAAGCCGGCCUAUCGUUCUCCGGGUUUCAUCGGAGGAAGGAAAGUCCGGGCAACACAGAGCAUCGUACUUCCUAACAGGAAGGUGCUGACGGCAGCGUCAGUAACAGAAAGUGCCACAGAAAAUAAACUACCUUCGAUAGCUAUCGGGGGAAAAGGUGAAAAGGUGAGGUAAGAGCUCACCGCCCCGAGGGUGACCAAGGGGGCAUGGUAAACCUUACGAGUUGAAAGAUCAAAUAAGUCCCGCUAGCUGGUGUAUCACCGGCUGUUAGGCUGCUCGUCUGAUUUUCUUCGGAAAUAAGCGGGAUGGGUAGAUCGAUAGAUCCCUGUAGUGAUACCGGGACCAGAUAAAUGAUGGGCCAUCGCGAUUUACAUCGGGAGGACAGAACCCGGCUUACAGGCUUGUAUUUUUC
This 414-nucleotide RNase P RNA is filed under the name Fulvivirga imtechensis AK7. Its description in RNAcentral is "Bacterial RNase P class A". It matches the Rfam family "Bacterial RNase P class A". Rfam says of the family: Ribonuclease P (RNase P) is a ubiquitous endoribonuclease, found in archaea, bacteria and eukarya as well as chloroplasts and mitochondria. Its best characterised activity is the generation of mature 5'-ends of tRNAs by cleaving the 5'-leader elements of precursor-tRNAs. The record is from Rfam by way of RNAcentral. Lineage: Bacteria; Pseudomonadati; Bacteroidota; Cytophagia; Cytophagales; Fulvivirgaceae.